UUUCCGUAGGUGAACCUGCGGAAGGAUCAUUAAUAAAUGGCGAAGCUCGAAAGAGUCUAAGCUUUAUAUUAUUCCAUAACACCUGUGAACUAUUUGCCUUCUUGUCAUGAGAAGGUACAACCUAUACAAACAUAACUGUAAUGAAUGUAAUCUAUUAUAACAUAAUACAACUUUCAACAACGGAUCUCUUGGCUCUCGCAUCGAUGAAGAACGCAGC
RNAcentral lists this unclassified non-coding RNA (217 nucleotides) under uncultured fungus. RNAcentral describes it as "sequence contains ITS1, 5.8S rRNA gene". The stretch from base 169 to 217 matches the Rfam family "5.8S ribosomal RNA", at positions 1 to 49 of the family's 154-position model. The record is from RNAcentral. Lineage: Eukaryota; Fungi.